GGAGGAUUCGCCUAGUGGCCUAUGGCGCCGUCUUGGAAAGGCGGUUGGGUUAACGCCCUCGGGGGUUCGAAUCCCCCAUCCUCCGC
RNAcentral lists this transfer RNA (86 nucleotides) under Flavimobilis marinus. RNAcentral describes it as "tRNA-Ser". It matches the Rfam family "tRNA". From Rfam's summary of the family: Transfer RNA (tRNA) molecules are approximately 80 nucleotides in length. Their secondary structure includes four short double-helical elements and three loops (D, anti-codon, and T loops). The record is from RNAcentral. Lineage: Bacteria; Bacillati; Actinomycetota; Actinomycetes; Micrococcales; Jonesiaceae.